AAAUUAAAGCGCCCGAACCGUACAUAUGGCAUAGCGGUUGACGAGGAUGGGGUUUAUCGAAAUUUCGGCGGAUGCCCCACGGCAGACAUGUCGUAAACGUGUACUUAAAACCCGAGAGUAAUUUCGGCACAGAGGUAU
This 138-nucleotide non-coding RNA is filed under the name human gut metagenome. RNAcentral's name for it is "glmS glucosamine-6-phosphate activated ribozyme". It matches the Rfam family "glmS glucosamine-6-phosphate activated ribozyme aptamer", at positions 5 to 154 of the family's 167-position model. From Rfam's summary of the family: This entry contains a glucosamine-6-phosphate activated ribozyme that is found in the mRNA for GlmS. GlmS is an enzyme that uses fructose-6-phosphate and glutamine to generate glucosamine-6-phosphate. The record is from RNAcentral.